UGUUUCGGCUAGGGGGUCAUCCCGACUUACCAACCCGAUGCAAACUGCGAAUACCGGAGAAUGUUAUCACGGGAGACACACGGCGGGUGCUAACGUUCGUCGUGAAGAGGGAAACAACCCAGACCGCCGGCUAAGGUCCCAAAGUCAUAAUUAAGUGGGAAACGAAGUGGGAAGGCUCAGACAGCCAGGAUGUUGGCUUAGAAGCAGCCAUCAUUUAAAGAAAGCGUAAUAGCUCACUGGUCGAGUCGGCCUGCGCGGAAGAUGUAACGGGGCUAAAUUAUGCACCGAAGCCGCGGCAGCGAUAUGUAAAUAUUGUUGGGUAGGGGAGCGUUCUGUAAGCCUGUGAAGGUGUGCUGUGAGGCAUGCUGGAGGUAUCAGAAGUGCGAAUGCUGACAUAAGUAACGAUAAUGCGGGUGAAAAACCCGCACGCCGGAAGACCAAGGGUUCCUGUCCAACGUUAAUCGGGGCAGGGUGAGUCGACCCCUAAGGCGAGGCUGAAAAGCGUAGUCGAUGGGCAACGGGUUAAUAUUCCCGUACUGGUGGUAACUGCGAAGGGGGGACGGAGAAAGCUAAAUCAUCCGGGCGACGGUUGUCCCGGUUUAAGCGUGCAGGUGGACUGACCAGGCAAAUCCGGUCGGUUGUUAACACUGAGGCGUGACGACGAGCCACUACGGUGGUGAAGUGAUUGAUGCUCUGCUUCCGGGAA
Molecule: ribosomal RNA, 706 nt
Filed under: Morganella morganii
Lineage: Bacteria; Pseudomonadati; Pseudomonadota; Gammaproteobacteria; Enterobacterales; Morganellaceae
Description: partial 23S ribosomal RNA
Rfam family: Bacterial large subunit ribosomal RNA
Source: RNAcentral